Molecule: unclassified non-coding RNA, 256 nt
Filed under: Hevea brasiliensis (rubber tree)
Lineage: Eukaryota; Viridiplantae; Streptophyta; Magnoliopsida; Malpighiales; Euphorbiaceae
Source: RNAcentral
GCUAAAAAUUCGGAAAGGGCACAAAACUUUCCAGCAGCUUUCACAAAACAAAAACCUGGAGACGGCUGUAUAAAAUGUUUUUGUAGUUUCACAAAGGCUAUCCAGAACUAGUCAACUUCUUCUGAGACGGCUGAUCGCUUGAUGUCUCCUCAUUUUUGUCCAUCGCCUUCCUUGCUAGCUCAUAACCAGCAAAGUUCAUGGCACCUAAAGGGGCAAUCCAGAAAAACCUUGGUACUGCUCCUUUAAAUAGUCCAAG